RNAcentral lists this ribosomal RNA (1230 nucleotides) under metagenome. Its description in RNAcentral is "bacterial SSU rRNA". It matches the Rfam family "Bacterial small subunit ribosomal RNA", at positions 284 to 1498 of the family's 1533-position model. The record is from RNAcentral.
AGUGGUCUGAGAGGACGAUCACCCACACUGGGACUGAGACACUGCCCAGACUCCUACGGGAGGCUGCAGUCGAGGAUCAUUGUCAAUGCGCGAAAGCGUGAACAUGCGACGCUGCGUGGAGGAUGACGGCCUACGGGUUGUAAACUCCUGUCAUUCGGGAAAAAUGGUCCCGUUCCUAAUAUGGGCGGGAUUUGAUGGUACCGGAAGAGGAAGCCACGGCUAACUCUGUGCCAGCAGCCGCGGUAAUACAGAGGUGGCGAGCGUUGUUCGGAUUUACUGGGCGUAAAGGGUGCGUAGGUGGCUUUGUGUGUUGGAUGUGAAAUCCCACGGCUCAACCGUGGAAUUGCAUUCGAAACUGCAGGGCUAGAGUGCAGGAGGGGAGAGCGGAAUUCUAGGUGUAGCGGUGAAAUGCGUUGAUAUCUAGAAGAACACCGGUGGCGAAGGCGGCUCUCUGAAAUGUUACUGACACUGAGGCACGAAAGCUGGGGGGGCAAACAGGAUUAGAUACCCUGGUAGUCCCAGCCGUAAACGGUGCGCACUUGGUGUAGGGGGUAUUGACCCCCCCUGUGCCGGAGCUAACGCGUUAAGUGCGCCGCCUGGGGAGUACGGCCGCAAGGCUAAAACUCAAAGAAAUUGACGGGGGCCCGCACAAGCGGAGGAGCAUGUGGCUUAAUUCGAUGCAACGCGAAGAACCUUACCAGGGCUUGACAUGCAGCUGCUUCCCCCCUGAAAGGGGGGGGUCCUUCGAGGGUGCUGCACAGGUGCUGCAUGGCUGUCGUCAGUUCGUGCCGUGAGGUGUUGGGUUAAGUCCCGCAACGAACGCAACCCUUGUGUUUAGUUGCCACCGGAGGUGAUGAGCCUUCGAGCACUCUAGACAGACUGCCCGUACAAGCGGGAGGAAGGUGGGGAUGACGUCAAGUCAGUAUGGCCCUUACGCCCUGGGCUGCACACGUGCUACAAUGGCUAGUACAGAAGGAUGCAAUACCGCGAGGUGGAGCGAAUCCCGAAAGCCAGCCCCAGUUCGGAUUGGAGUCUGCAACUCGACUCCAUGAAGUUGGAUUCGCUAGUAACGGCGUAUCAGCUACGACGCCGUGAAUACGUUCCCGGGCCUUGUACACACCGCCCGUCACAUCAUGAAAGCCGUCUGGACCCGAAGUCGUUGAGCUAACCCGCAAGGGAGGCAGGUGCCGAAGGUCUGGGUGGUGAUUGGGAUGAAGUCGUAACAAGGUA